This 120-nucleotide ribosomal RNA is filed under the name Scophthalmus maximus (turbot). Lineage: Eukaryota; Metazoa; Chordata; Actinopteri; Pleuronectiformes; Scophthalmidae. The record is from RNAcentral.
GCUUACGGCCACACAGCCUGGUUCACUCCUGAUCCCGUUUGAUCUCGGAAGCUAAGAUAGGUUGGCCCUGGUUAGUACUUGGAUGGGGAGACCGCCUGGGAAUACCAGGUGCUGUAAGCU